AGUUGUUAUUUAUUGGGUGCCAAAUUAUGUACCAGGCAGUGUGGUGGGAUACCAGGGAUACAGACAUGCGCCUGCCUGUAUAUGUUUACAAAUCUAGGUGGAAAAAAUAGGUAAAUAAAUAGACUGCUACAGUGCGUUGUGAAAUACAAUGGUAAUUAAAGGGGGCGUAGGGCAUCAGGGAUGGCUUCCCCAAGGAAGUGCUGCUCAAACUGAGA
RNAcentral lists this long non-coding RNA (215 nucleotides) under Homo sapiens (human). RNAcentral describes it as "non-protein coding lnc-HRH4-14:1". The record is from RNAcentral. Lineage: Eukaryota; Metazoa; Chordata; Mammalia; Primates; Hominidae.